GGGGAAUAUUGCACAAUGGGCGCAAGCCUGAUGCAGCCAUGCCGCGUGUAUGAAGAAGGCCUUCGGGUUGUAAAGUACUUUCAGCGGGGAGGAAGGCGAUACGGUUAAUAACCGUGUCGAUUGACGUUACCCGCAGAAGAAGCACCGGCUAACUCCGUGCCAGCAGCCGCGGUAAUACGGAGGGUGCAAGCGUUAAUCGGAAUUACUGGGCGUAAAGCGCACGCAGGCGGUCUGUCAAGUCAGAUGUGAAAUCCCCGGGCUUAACCUGGGAACUGCAUUUGAAACUGGCAGGCUUGAGUCUCGUAGAGGGGGGUAGAAUUCCAGGUGUAGCGGUGAAAUGCGUAGAGAUCUGGAGGAAUACCGGUGGCGAAGGCGGCCCCCUGGACGAAGACUGACGCUCAGGUGCGAAAGCGUGGGGAGCAAACAGGAUUAGAUACCCUAGUAGUCCACGCUGUAAACGAUGUCGACUUGGAGGUUGUGCCCUUGAGGCGUGGCUUCCGGAGCUAACGCGUUAAGUCGACCGCCUGGGGAGUACGGCCGCAAGGUUAAAACUCAAAUGAAUUGACGGGGGCCCGCACAAGCGGUGGAGCAUGUGGUUUAAUUCGAUGCAACGCGAAGAACCUUACCUGGCCUUGACAUCCACAGAACUUAGCAGAGAUGCUUUGGUGCCUUCGGGAACUGUGAGACAGGUGCUGCAUGGCUGUCGUCAGCUCGUGUUGUGAAAUGUUGGGUUAAGUC
This 738-nucleotide ribosomal RNA is filed under the name uncultured bacterium. RNAcentral describes it as "bacterial SSU rRNA". It matches the Rfam family "Bacterial small subunit ribosomal RNA", at positions 356 to 1086 of the family's 1533-position model. The record is from RNAcentral.